GGGGAAUUUUCCGCAAUGGGCGAAAGCCUGACGGAGCAAUACCGCGUGAGGGAUGACGGCCUAUGGGUUGUAAACCUCUUUUUUCAGGGAGGAAUCAAAUGACGUGUACCCUGAAGAAUAAGCAUCGGCUAACUCCGUGCCAGCAGCCGCGGUAAGANCGGAGGAUGCAAGUGUUAUCCGGAAUCACUGGGCGUAAAGCGUCUGUAGGUGGUCCAAUAAGUCAACUGUUAAAUCUUGGGGCUCAACCUCAAAAUCGCAGUCGAAACUAUUAGACUAGAGUAUAGUAGGGGUAAAGGGAAUUUCCAGUGGAGCGGUGAAAUGCGUAGAGAUUGGAAAGAACACCGAUGGCGAAGGCACUUUACUGGGCUAUUACUAACACUCAGAGACGAAAGCUAGGGUAGCAAAUGGGAUUAGAUACCCCAGUAGUC
Molecule: ribosomal RNA, 428 nt
Filed under: uncultured cyanobacterium
Lineage: Bacteria; Bacillati; Cyanobacteriota
Description: bacterial SSU rRNA
Rfam family: Bacterial small subunit ribosomal RNA
Source: RNAcentral